RNAcentral lists this signal recognition particle RNA (298 nucleotides) under Saimiri boliviensis boliviensis (Bolivian squirrel monkey). RNAcentral describes it as "Metazoan signal recognition particle RNA (ENSSBOG00000006765.1)". It matches the Rfam family "Metazoan signal recognition particle RNA". From Rfam's summary of the family: The signal recognition particle (SRP) is a universally conserved ribonucleoprotein. The record is from RNAcentral. Lineage: Eukaryota; Metazoa; Chordata; Mammalia; Primates; Cebidae.
GCUGGGCAUGGUGACAUGUCCUGUAGUCCCAGCUACUCCAGAUGCAGAGGUGGGAGGAUCAUUGGAUCCUAGGAGUUCUGCACUGUAGUUCACUAUACAUACCUGGUGUCUGUACUAAGUUUGGCAUUAAUACGGUCACCUCCAGAGAGCAGGGGACUUCCAGGUUACCUAAGGAGGAAUGAGCCAGCCCAGGUUGAAAACAGAACAGGUCAAAACUCUCAUACUGAUCAGUAGUGAGAUUAAGCCUGUGAAUAGCCACUAUACUCCAGACUGGGCAACAUAGUCAGACCCUGUCUCU